RNAcentral lists this ribosomal RNA (85 nucleotides) under Paenibacillus baekrokdamisoli. Its description in RNAcentral is "partial 16S ribosomal RNA". It matches the Rfam family "Bacterial small subunit ribosomal RNA", at positions 1 to 85 of the family's 1533-position model. Lineage: Bacteria; Bacillati; Bacillota; Bacilli; Caryophanales; Paenibacillaceae. The record is from RNAcentral.
AUUAUGGAGAGUUUGAUCCUGGCUCAGGACGAACGCUGGCGGCGUGCCUAAUACAUGCAAGUCGAGCGGAUUUAAGAGGAAGCUU